This 635-nucleotide ribosomal RNA is filed under the name Pseudoomphalina kalchbrenneri. RNAcentral describes it as "eukaryotic LSU rRNA". The stretch from base 240 to 393 matches the Rfam family "5.8S ribosomal RNA". Lineage: Eukaryota; Fungi; Basidiomycota; Agaricomycetes; Agaricales; Tricholomataceae. The record is from RNAcentral.
GAACUUGGCCUAGUUGCUGCUGGUCCUUUGGGACAUGUGCACACACUUGGCUCUUGUUUCUAACCACCUGUGCACCUUUUGUAGACUUGGGGAGUUUGAUUAUAUUCAAGAUUGGGGUAUUGCUGCUGCUUUGCAUCAUAAAGCCAGCUCUCCCUGUGUUCCCCAGUCUAUGUCUUUACAUACUCUGUAAAAAUGUAUGAGAAUGUUAACAAGGCUUUUAUGCCUUUAACAAUAUAUACAACUUUCAACAACGGAUCUCUUGGCUCUCGCAUCGAUGAAGAACGCAGCGAAAUGCGAUAAGUAAUGUGAAUUGCAGAAUUCAGUGAAUCAUCGAAUCUUUGAACGCACCUUGCGCUCCUUGGUAUUCCGAGGAGCAUGCCUGUUUGAGUGUCAUGAAAUUCUCAACCUUUUCUUACUUUUGUAAGGAAAGGCUUGGAUGUGGAAGUCUGCAGGCCCUCCUAGUGAGGUCAGCUCUUCUCAAAUGCAUUAGCAGGACUUUUAUCAUUCACUGGUCUUGGUGUGAUAAUUAUCUACGCCAUUUCCAAGAUGUGUGGUUCAGCUUUCCAAUUGUCCCUUGGGACAACUUUCUUGACAACUUUGACCUCAAAUCAGGUAGGACUACCCGCUGAACUUAA